GACGAUCUGCUUUUUUACAAUAAACUAAUGUGAACUUAAUUGUAAGAAUAUGUGAUACUAUUAGGAAAUUGAAGUGCACAGAGGUGAGGUCAAUCUUGCCGAACUAGUCAUAUACCAAGUUUAAAUCUUGUUGUUCCAAUUCCACUUUCUCUGCUCCAAGAAAUCGUACUACAAAGGAAAAAUCUGCUUCAAGAUAUCCAACCACAGGAAAUAUCUGAAAAAUGAAAGCACCUAGUACGCUAUGAAGACACAUAUAGAUCCACUUAAAAAAGAAAGACACAUAGAUCCAAAUUAACAGACAUUAGUUGUGGAAACAUUCUUUAUUCGAGCGACCAAAAUUCACAACACACCGGAAAGAAACAUGAGUAAGAUGCAUUUGGUGCCUAACUACUGAUAUAAGCACAAAAGAAACCAACUCCACGACGUCGGAACCAAUAGAAACUAUAACCCACCCAAACCAACAAUACACACUAGUUCCUGUUCUAAAAUUCAAGCAUAAACAGACCCAUUUGCAGCAUAAAGGGCACCGCGUGUUCAAGGGAAAUUACACAAUCGAGCAACAACUAAAUUACCUACCAUCAAGACUAAUCAGAUUUGUGCCCAACAAUGUUGGUUUACGCGAAUAACAAGUUCAGAAAAGAAAACUUCUGGUUCAAGGAAAUCUAACCAUAUAAUGAACAAAUCUAACUAACUAAUUACGCAGAUUAGGAACCAAUAGCACGAAAUUAUCACCAGAUAGAUGAUAUUAGACAGAUGAAUCGUAAACCAUAAACAAAAACUAACCAAUGGUUUUGAAACCAAGUUGUGCAUGUCAGUUCUGCUCGAAUGGUUCUGCUAGAUUGCGUUCAAUCUGCCGUCGUCAUUCAAAUCCGUUUCACGAACUACAACUUCUUUAUCAGUGCUAGACGGUGGAGCUCGACGAAGAGAAGCAUGACCCGUUCUCUGGCGAGUGGCGUUGUCUUGAAGUCAUCAUCUAAAGUAUUUGGAUGAUGCUAAGAACAACGAUGAGUGUUUCUGGUUGGUGCAGGUCGUGGCGGCAUUGUCUCUUCAACGUCAAACGACGGCGAUGUUCUACUCUCCUAGCCGUUCGGAGUCGGUGUUAAAGAAAGGAGCAAAGGCGGGGUGGUUUUUUCUUUCAGCCGGAACUAAAAUGGAAGACACAAAUGAUGAGGGCUUACAGACCGCAAUCAUCGCCAAAACUAAAAAUUAUAAAAAUGAUCGGUCACCGUCAAAUAACCUAUGGAAUGCUACAACGAAUGAAGGGGUGGUCGGUGGCCAAAUCCCUUUACCUUGUCUUUGACUCUUACAACCAUUCUCUUUGUUGGGUCAUCCUGAUCUUUCCUCAUGUCAUGAAUGAAAUCUAGCAAAUCACACAUCUCUUUGAAGAAUAAAUGUGAGUUGACGAGCUCGAACGAAGAUAUACGGACGGCUCCAACUUGAUUCUGCAUGAGAAUUUUAAUUAGGGUUCUAGACUAAUAGUCAGAAAUUGAGAAGAAUGAAGACGAGAACUCACUUACUUGCUUAGAAGGAUGAACAGAACGUGAUGAAAACGAGAAGCGGAAGACGGGCAGAGUCAAUGGUUGGGACGAUCGAGGACGAGCAGAGCACGAUUGAGGUAUGAGGAGAGGAGGCGAAGACGACGAGCAGAAGAAUGAGAUAAGAAUUAGGUUUCUUUGCUGUCUGUAAUUGAGUAAUUGAAUUGUUC
Molecule: long non-coding RNA, 1705 nt
Filed under: Linum usitatissimum (flax)
Lineage: Eukaryota; Viridiplantae; Streptophyta; Magnoliopsida; Malpighiales; Linaceae
Description: long non-coding RNA (LUSI_LNC005675)
Source: RNAcentral